Long non-coding RNA from Xiphophorus couchianus (Monterrey platyfish), 406 nucleotides. RefSeq lists it as uncharacterized. The record is from RefSeq and is a predicted model, not a curated record. Lineage: Eukaryota; Metazoa; Chordata; Actinopteri; Cyprinodontiformes; Poeciliidae. The transcript has 3 exons.
AAGCCAUUGCUCUCUUUCUCUGGCCAUCACACUAACAGACAAGAAGAUUUGACAAGCAUGGCAGGUUUCUGCCUCUCAGCCUGGAAAUGGAAGGCAAGAAAGCUGCAACUUCUGAAGCCAAUUACUUAAGUUUUUUGCCUCAAUCUCUCCUCACAAGAAAGGAUUGAAUGAAACCUUCCCAGAGCCCUCUUAUCAUAUGUGCAUUCUAAUCUCCUCUCGCAAGAAGCGUUCUACAGGGAUCCUUCUGAAGGAAUAGCUUGUUUCUGUGCAGCUCAAAUGUGCCAACAGGGAACAUUUACUCAGAGAUUCUUUGCAGUGUUUGGGUCCUUACCGGCAGGAAAAGAUGUGCAAAGUUCUACAGAGUGGAAAUGUUUCAGACAAAGUUGGACUUUCACUUGCAGGAAAG